RNAcentral lists this ribosomal RNA (253 nucleotides) under uncultured bacterium. RNAcentral's name for it is "partial 16S ribosomal RNA". It matches the Rfam family "Bacterial small subunit ribosomal RNA", at positions 524 to 776 of the family's 1533-position model. The record is from RNAcentral.
UACGUAGGGUGCAAGCAUUAAUCGGAUUUAUUGGGCGUAAAGGGCGCGUAGGCGGGGAAGUUAGUCAGAUGUGAAAUCCCGGAGCUCAACUCCGGAACAGCAUUUGAAACUGCUUCUCUAGAGGGUAGGCGGAGAAAACGGAAUUCCACAAGUAGCGGUGAGAUGCGUAGAUAUGUGGAAGAACACCAGUGGCGAAGGCGGUUUUCUAGCUUACACCUGACGCUGAGGCGCGAAAGCAAGGGGAGCAAACAGG